UAGCCCAUUUGGGACCCAAUUUAAACAAGUCUUUCUCCACACUUCUAAACACUCUUCAUGCAUCUCUAGCAUUUGUAAUCAAUCAAAUUUAUUGUAUACUAACAUAUUCUAAACCCAAAAAACACUAGAUAAGUCAUUUAGUGGUUCAACGCAAUGUUUUCGAAUUCUUAGCCCAUUUGGGACGCAAUUUCAACAAGUCUUUCUCCAUACUUCAAAACACUCUUCAUGCAUCUCUAGAACUUGUAAUCAAUCAAAUUCAUUGUAUUCUAACAUAUUUUAAACCCAAACAACAAUAGAUAAGUCAUUUAGUUGUUUAACGCAAUGUUUCCGAGUUCUUAGCCCAUUUGGGACCCAAUUUAAACAAGUCUUUCUCCACACUUCUAAACACUCUUCUUGCAUCUCUAGCACUUGUAAUCAAUCAAAUUUAUUGUAUUCUAACAUAUUCUAAACCCAAACAACACUUGAUAAGUCAUUUAGUGGUUCAACGCAAUGUUUCCAAGUUCUUAGCCCAUAUGGGACCCAAUUUCAACAAGUCUUUCUCCAUACUUCAAAAAACUCUUCAUGCAUCUCUAGAACUUGUAAUCAAUAAAAUUCAUUGUAUACUAAUAUAUUCUAACC
This 618-nucleotide long non-coding RNA is filed under the name Capsella rubella. RNAcentral's name for it is "long non-coding RNA (CRUB_LNC000687)". The record is from RNAcentral. Lineage: Eukaryota; Viridiplantae; Streptophyta; Magnoliopsida; Brassicales; Brassicaceae.